RNAcentral lists this ribosomal RNA (60 nucleotides) under Brachythecium rutabulum. Its description in RNAcentral is "partial 26S ribosomal RNA". Lineage: Eukaryota; Viridiplantae; Streptophyta; Bryopsida; Hypnales; Brachytheciaceae. The record is from RNAcentral.
CAGACCUCUAAUCGGAAAAGACUACCCGCUGAGUUUAAGCAUAUCAAUAAGGCGGAGGAA